GCUUUCGUGGUGUAGCGGUCAGCACACUUGACGUGUAAACGAGAGGUCCGUGGUUCGAUUCCCAUCGAAGGCA
This 73-nucleotide transfer RNA is filed under the name Stegodyphus mimosarum. It matches the Rfam family "tRNA". Rfam says of the family: Transfer RNA (tRNA) molecules are approximately 80 nucleotides in length. Their secondary structure includes four short double-helical elements and three loops (D, anti-codon, and T loops). Further hydrogen bonds mediate the characteristic L-shaped molecular structure. tRNAs have two regions of fundamental functional importance: the anti-codon, which is responsible for specific mRNA codon recognition, and the 3' end, to which the tRNAs corresponding amino acid is attached (by aminoacyl-tRNA synthetases). tRNAs cope with the degeneracy of the genetic code in two manners: having more than one tRNA (with a specific anti-codon) for a particular amino acid; and 'wobble' base-pairing, i.e. permitting non-standard base-pairing at the 3rd anti-codon position. Lineage: Eukaryota; Metazoa; Arthropoda; Arachnida; Araneae; Eresidae. The record is from Rfam by way of RNAcentral.